This 424-nucleotide ribosomal RNA is filed under the name uncultured bacterium. RNAcentral describes it as "bacterial SSU rRNA". It matches the Rfam family "Bacterial small subunit ribosomal RNA", at positions 123 to 541 of the family's 1533-position model. The record is from RNAcentral.
AAUCUACCUAGUAGAAGGGGAUAGCCCGAGGAAACUCGGAUUAAUACCGUAUACCUCCUUUGGGAGAAAGAAGGCCUCUCUUUGAAGCUUUCGCUAUUAGAUGAGCCUGCGUAAGAUUAGCUUGUUGGUGAGGUAAAGGCUCACCAAGGCAACGAUCUUUAGCUGGUCUGAGAGGACGAUCAGCCACAUUGGGACUGAGACACGGCCCAGACUCCUACGGGAGGCAGCAGUGGGGAAUAUUGGACAAUGGGCGCAAGCCUGAUCCAGCCAUACCGCGUGUGUGAAGAAGGCCUUCGGGUUGUAAAGCACUUUAAGCAGGGAGAAAAAGUUAUAAGUUAAUACCUUAUAACCGUGAUGUUACCUGCAGAAUAAGCACCGGCUAAUUCCGUGCCAGCAGCCGCGGUAAUACGGAAGGUGCAAGCGU